AACGAACGCUGGCGGCAUGCCUAACACAUGCAAGUCGAACGAGACCUUCGGGUCUAGUGGCGCACGGGUGCGUAACGCGUGGGAACCUGCCCUUAGGUUCGGAAUAACUCCCCGAAAGGGGGGCUAAUACCGGAUAAUGUCUUCGGACCAAAGAUUUAUCGCCUUUGGAUGGGCCCGCGUUGGAUUAGCUAGUUGGUAGGGUAAAAGCCUACCAAGGCGACGAUCCAUAGCUGGUCUGAGAGGAUGAUCAGCCACACUGGGACUGAGACACGGCCCAGACUCCUACGGGAGGCAGCAGUGGGGAAUAUUGGACAAUGGGCGAAAGCCUGAUCCAGCAAUGCCGCGUGAGUGAUGAAGGCCUUAGGGUUGUAAAGCUCUUUUACCCGGGAUGAUAAUGACAGUACCGGGAGAAUAAGCGCCGGCUAACUCCGUG
This 433-nucleotide ribosomal RNA is filed under the name uncultured bacterium. RNAcentral describes it as "partial 16S ribosomal RNA". It matches the Rfam family "Bacterial small subunit ribosomal RNA", at positions 29 to 507 of the family's 1533-position model. The record is from RNAcentral.